This 482-nucleotide ribosomal RNA is filed under the name uncultured bacterium. Its description in RNAcentral is "partial 16S ribosomal RNA". It matches the Rfam family "Bacterial small subunit ribosomal RNA", at positions 30 to 507 of the family's 1533-position model. The record is from RNAcentral.
AUUGAACGCUGGCGGCAUGCCUUACACAUGCAAGUCGAACGGUAACGGGCCUUCGGGUGCCGACGAGUGGCGCACGGGUGAGUAAUACAUCGGAACGUGCCCGAUCGUGGGGGAUAACGAGGCGAAAGCUUUGCUAAUACCGCAUACGAUCUACGGAUGAAAGCAAGGGACCGCAAGGCCUUGCGCGGACGGAGCGGCCGAUGGCAGAUUAGGUAGUUGGUGGGAUAAAAGCUUACCAAGCCGACGAUCUGUAGCUGGUCUGAGAGGAUGAUCAGCCACACUGGGACUGAGACACGGCCCAGACUCCUACGGGAGGCAGCAGUGGGGAAUUUUGGACAAUGGGCGCAAGCCUGAUCCAGCCAUGCCGCGUGCAGGAUGAAGGCCUUCGGGUUGUAAACUGCUUUUGUACGGAACGAAAAGCCUUCUUUUAAUACAGGAGGGUCAUGACGGUACCGGAAGAAUAAGCACCGGCUAACUACGUG